CCCGCCCUCUCGCCCGCCGGCCGGCUCCUUAUUCGUCGCGCGUGCUGCUGGCUACCUGUACAGCUCCAUGCUCCGCCUACACCAGCUCCCUAAAUCCUCACAACGGUUCUGGACGAGAAGACAGAUACGACAUGGCAGUGGAUGAGAUGGCCAAGAGAGUAAGCAAGGAUUGACAAGUUACCAAAGGGACAAUCAGAAAGGAUAGAUCCUUAUCCAGACUUGGAAUUCUUACAUUACAGCCUACAUGUGUUUAAAAUUUUGGCAAAUAUUCCCAGAUUGAAAUCCAACACGGUCAUAUCAAUCUAUAUUCCUUGCAACAACAGGUCACCAAAGUACUGCUGCAUCUCUAGUUCCUGUUUCAGGCAGCAAAAGAAAAAGGUGGGGAGAGGAAACGGCAGCUUAGCAGGUAUCAAGUACCUAUUUACUAAGAAAAUACCACCUACAGUAGUAUCUAUUUUUAACUUGUUCUUUCACAGGCUGCAGAAUUUCCAUUCCUAUAUUCAAAUAAAACCAAGAGUAUUCAAAUAUUUUUUCACCUACACAAAUAUAAAACCUCUUUACAUUCUAAUAUUUAGAUUAAAAUCAUUCAGCAAUAUUGUACUCUUUAAAGAAAUGCACUGAUUUGGAAAACAAAAUGUCUUAAUAUUUCUAAGAUCUCUUUCCAAUGUGUGGUACCAGGUAAGAAUGAACUUACUCCUUCCCACUCUCCCAUUUCCCCACACUCUCAUGCAAUUCUGCUCUACUUCAUUCUGUUAUGGUAACUUCCCACCACUUACAACAGUUACAGAUAUUCUACAAAGAACAGAGACUUGUGUCAAAGCCAGGUAGGGUCCACAGGCACUAAUCAUUAGUAAAGAUUAAAAACUAAGAAGACUGGGGAUAGACGUAAAACAAAAUAGAGUUACCACACAAUUCUCCAGAUGGCAAUCAGCCACCAGAUAUUUAAGACACACAAUAGUCGGGCACUGUGAUGAGCAUUGGGCAUGUACUGAUGAACAAGGCAAUCUGCUUCUUCAUGACAGAAAUAGAUUACUGAUCAUGCCUGGCCAAUUUUUGUAUUCUUAGUAGAGAUGGGCAUUCAUCAUGUUUGCCAGGCUGGUCUUGAACUCCUGACCUCAGGUGAUCUGCCCACCUUGGCCUCUCAAAGUCCUGGGAUUACAGGUGUGAGCCACCAUGCCCGGCCUGGAAAAAUAUUUUUAAAAAGAAAAGGAGAAUACAGAUUACACCAGAGAAGAAUGCAACAUAAAGAUGAAGCAGAGAUUUGAUGAUGCUGUCCUCGAAUAUAAGGGUGAUGCAGGCACAAGCAAAGGAAUAUUGGCAGCCACCAGAAGCUGGAAGAGGAAAAGAAUGGAUACUCUCCCAGAGGAACCAGAUGGAGUGAGGCCCUGCUGACAAGUUAAUUUCAACUCAGUUAUAUUAAUUUUGGAUUUCUGACCUCCAGAACUAUGAAAGAAUAAAUUGCUGUUGUUUUAAGCCACAAAAUUUGUGAUAAUUUGUUACAGCAGCCAUAAGAAAUUAAUGAGGAUCUAAGUCUGUAUUUUAAAAAUGCAAUUGUUCCCAAUUCUAUGCCUAUUUUUUCUUCCCUAAUGGAAUGCUUCAUGAAUUUAUAUAGCAUCCUUGAGCAAGGCCAUGCUAAUAUUCUCCAUAACGUUCCAAUUUUAGUAUAUGUGCUGCCAAAGCAAGCAUUCUAUGUCUAUUCAAGCAGAAAGCAUUAAAUACGUUUCAGAGAAAGACUGGAUGAAAUUAAGUUGCUAUAUUUUUAAAAAUUAGUUAUUAGGAUGGUUUACCAAAUAGUAUGUAGAACAAUUUCUUGCACAUAGUAUGCACUCGAUAAAUUUUUUUAAAAAUAUAUGCUGGACUAAGUAACAAAACAAAGAUACUACAUGAAUGAGAAAUUAAUCUAAUAAUCUUCUCAUGGAAAACUAACCCAUCCACUAUUUGUUCACAAAACUAAAUGUUUAACAGUAACAUUUCCAUAGAGAAAACAAGGACUUGGCCAAUGUUACAAAGCAAUUCUCCUACUACCACUUAGUUUGGAAAACAUCAAUUUGUUUUAUUAUUUUAUUUCUUACUUUCUUAUUGUAUUAUUUACUCUAUUUUAUAUUUUUUAAGACAGGGUCUCACUCUGUUCCCCAGGCUGGAGUGCAGUGGCAUGACCACAGCUCACUCCUGCCUCUACCUCCUGAGCUCAAGCCAUCCUCCCACCUCAGCCUCUUGAGUAGCUGGAAACACAGACAUGUGCCACCACACCUAGCUAAUUUUUUUUUUAAUUUUUUUUAUUUGUAAAGAUGGGGUCUCCCUAUGUUACCCAGGCUGAUCUCAGGCUCAGGCCAUCCUCCUGCCUCAGCUUCCCACAGUGCUGGGAUUACAGGCAUGAGCCACCCUACCCAGUCUCUUUGCUGUUUUAAAAGAUAUUGGUAGGUGUGGGUAGGAAAAAAAAGAACAUAAAAGGCGAAACAGUAUAGAUUGUCACUAUUUUCAUUAGUAUCUUUGUUUUUAUAACUUGAAAUGUUAAUAACAUAUAAGCUAGAAAAAGAUUUUUCCCAAUUUUAGGCUCUCUGUCCAUACUAGACUAUUCAAGUUGAUUCCUUUAAACAUAAUUUAUUGCUCAAUCUCAGAUAUACUACAUGUAUCAAAACAUGCCAACUGAAACGUAUCUACAUGUAGAAAGUAAAAUAUAACAAAAUUACUCAUUAAGAUAGAGUUGCUCUCCAAGCACUAACAUUAACAAGGUUCUAGUAUUUUCCAGUGAUUUUUCAAAUGUUUAGGUAUUAAAGCACACAAGAGCCAAGCACGGUGUCUCAUGCCUGUAAUCCCAGCACUUUGGGAGACCAAGGUGGGAGGAUCACUGGAGCUCAGGAGUUCCAGACCAGCCUGAGCAACAUAGUGGAACUCUCUCUGUCUUUACAAAAGAUUUUUUAAAAUUAGCUGGAUGUGGUGGAGCGUGCCUAUAUUCCCAACUGCUCGAGAAGCUGAGGCUGUAGGAUUGCUUGAGCCUGAGAGGUCAAGGCUGCAGUGACCUGUAAUCACACCACAGCACUCCUUCUUGUGUGACAGACUGAGGCCCUGUCUUAAAUAAAUAAAGAAUAGAAGGGUAAUCGCAGCCUGAGGAUAAACCUGAAAGGUGAGGGGCCUUAAAAUAGUUUUCUCUGUAGCAUUCAUGAAUGAUUAAAAAAAACAAUAAUGUGAAAAUAAUUUAACUAAAACAGCAUGUGGAAUGAGCAGGUUUUUAUAGAUUAUGGUCUGACAAACUGUCAAACAUUCUUUUCUUUCCCCCCAACUUUUACUUUAGAUUGAAGGUAAGGGGUUAGGUAUGCACGUUUGUCACAUGGGUAAAUUGUGUGUCCUGGGGGUUUGGUGUGUAGAUAGUUUUGUCACCCAGGUAAUCAGCAUAAUACCCAAUAGGUAAUUUUUCAAUCCUUACCCUCCUCCAACCCUGCACCCUCAAAUAGACCUCAGUGUCUACUGUGUCCCCUUCUUUGUGUCCAUAUGCACUCAAAGUUUUGUUCCCACUUAUAACUGUGAACAUGCAGCAUUUGGUUUUCUGUUCCUACAUUAAUUUGUUUAGAAUAAUGGCCUUCAGUUCCAACCAUGCUGCAGCAAAGACCAUGGCUCAUUUGUUUUAUAGCUGCACAAUAUUUCAGGAUAUAUAUGUACCAUAUUUUUAUGUCCAGUUCACCACUUAGGGACAUCCAGAUUCGUUCUAUGUCUUUGCUAUUGUGAAUAGUGCUGUGAUGAACUUACAGUUCAUGUGCCUUUAUGGUAGAAUAAUUUAUCUUCUUUUGCUGUCAAAGAUUUUUAAACUUUAAAAAAUCCCAGCUGCUGAUUCUGUUUGGAUAAUCAAUGUUAGAUUACCACCUUCCCUUGAGAACAAGGUUCCAAUAUUUGAAUACAAAUGCUGUGUAGUUUUGUUUUUUUAACCAACACCUUUUCUAAACAUGAAACUGCAACCACUUCCAGGUAAACCUAUAGUCUCAGAAAUUUAUACAUACUAUAAGCUUAAGCUACAGAGAAUAUAAGCAUAUAUUAAUUAUAUUUUUUUUGAGAUGGAGUUUUGCUCUUGUCACCCAAGCUGGAGUGCAAUGGCGCAAUCUCGGCUCACCGUAACCUCUGCCUCCUGUGUUCAGGCAAUUCUCCUGCCUCGGCUUUCUGAGUAGCUGGGAUUACAGGCACCCGCCACCACGCCCAGCUAAUUUUUCAUAUUUUUAGUAGAGAUGGGUUUUCACCACGUUGACCAGGAUGUUCUCGAUCUCUUGACCUCGUGACCCACCCGCCUCGGCCUCCCAAAGUGCUGGAAUUACAGGCUUGAGCCACCGUGCCCGGCCCAAUUAUGUUUUUUCUACAUUUACUGUUCAAGUCUCAUGUCACUCUGCCUAAGUGAAGAGGGCAAGCUUCAGACACUCUCAACUCUAAUCUAGCCUCCAAAUAGUAGAUGUCUUAAUAAAACUUAGGUAUGAUCAUAUCCCUUCUGUUUUUGGUUUUUUGGGGUUGUUUGGUUUUAGUUGUUUGUUUUUGAGCCAGAGUUUCACUCUUGUUUACCCAGGCUGGAGUGCAAUGGCGCGAUCUCAGCUCACCGCAACCUCUGCCUCCUGGGUUCAGGCAAUUCUCCUGCCUCAGCCUCCAGAGUAGCUGGGAUUACAGGCACGCGCCACCGUGCCCAGCUAAUUUUUUGUAUUUGUAGUAUAGGCGGGGUUUUACCAUGUUGACCAGGAUGGUCUCGAUCUCUUGACCUUGUGAUCCACCCGCCUCGGCCUCCCAAAGUGCUGGGAUUACAGGCGUGAGCCACCGCGCCCGGCCAGUUUUUUGGUUUUUUUUGAGACUGAGUCUGACUGUCACCCAGGCUGGAGUGCAGUGCUGUCAUCACGGCUCACUGUAGACUUCCUGAGUGAGCCUCGACCUGCUGGGCUCAAUCCUUCUGCCUCAGCCUCCCAAGUAGCUGAACCUACGAGUGCAUGCUACCACAACAAACUAAUGUUUUUAUUUUUUGUAGAUCCAGGGUCUUGCUUCAUUGCCCAUGCUGGUCUCAAACUCCUGCCCACAAGUGAUCCUCUUACCCAGGCCUCCCAAAGUGAUGGGAUUACAGGCAUGAAUCACUGUGCCUUGCCCUGUUUGUAAAGUUUAAUUGACUUCUUACAAAAUAGAGGAUAGAAUCCAAACUCCUUCUCAUAAAACAGCCCUCAUAAUCUGGUCCCAACCUACAUUUCCUGCCAUAAACUGUUUUAUUUUAUUUUAUUUAUUUAUUUUAUUACCUGUCUCAAUGUUGUUCUUUCACGCAUUCACUAAACAAAUAUUCCUCCUUUUAAACAGCCCUUCUCCCUUCUCUAUUUGUAGAACCUCUAUAUAUCUUAAAGGACUCAAAAUACAAGUCUCACAGAAGUUUCAUAUGUCUUCCAAGCAGACUGAAUCUUUCCCUCUACUAUACUCUCAUGCCAUUUUGCAUGUACCUUUUAUGAUAGCACUCAUAGAUUGUAUUAUUUAUUUUUUUAUUUUUUUUGAGAUGGAGUCUCGCUCUGUGGCCCAGGCUGGAGUGCAGUGGCAUGAUCUUGGCUUACUGCAACCUCUGCCUUCUGGGUUUAAGCAAUUCUCCUGCCUCAGUCUCCUGAGUAGCUGGGAUUAUAGGCAUAUGCCACCAUGCCCGACUAAUUUUUGUAUUUUUAGUAGAGACAGGUUUCACCAUGUCGGUCAGGCUGGUCUUGAACUCCUGAUGUGUUGAUCCACCCACCUUGGCCUCUCAAAGUGCUAAGAUUACAGCCAUAAACCACUGCGCCCAGCCUGCACUCAUAAAUUUUAUCAGACUAAUUUGUUGACAAAUGAUAUAUGUUUUCUUCUUUUAUUGACUGUAUUUCCUGCUUCUUCAUAUCAGUAUCUGUCAUAUACUAAGCAUUUACUCUGUUAAACGUAUAAAAUAAUAAAUAAACUCCACAAUAUUUAUUGUGGGAGAGUGAUUUCUUCAUAACUCUCCCUGUGUAGCAACAUAAAAGACAAAUGCUGGGGCUGGGCUUAGUGGCUCAGGCCUGCAAUCCUAGCACUUUGGGAGGCAAAGGUGGGCGGAUCACUUGAGCCCAGAAAUCUGAGACCAGCCUGGGCAACAUGGUGAAAGCUGUCUCUACAAAACAUACAAAAAUUACCCAGGCGUGGUGACGCAUGCCUGUAGUCCCAGCUACUCGGGAGGUAGGAGGUGGGAGGAUCACUUGAGCCAGGGAGGUAGAGAUUGUAGUGAGUGAGACCCUGUUUCAAUGUAAAAAAAAAAAAAAAAAAAAAAAAAGAUAAAUGCAGGUCAAAAAUGGUUUACAUUAAAUGUUUUCUAAUAACUGCAAUAACUAGACUUCAUGAGAGAAGUAAAAAUAAUAAAAGAAUCCUGAAAACCUACAGCAUGUCAGGCAUUGUGCUAGGUGAUUUUCAGGUAUUAUCUCGUUUAACCUGUAAAAUGAGGUAUUCAUUUUACAGAUUAAGAAACACAAGUUCUGAGAUAUUAAGUAUAUGGCUUGUCUUGCGUAACAUGUCAGAGUUCAGACAUGAACAAAGAUUUAUCUCAGUCAAAACCCAUAGUCUUUGCAGUAAAGCCUAUGUUUAAGCAAGGCUAAGGACUGAUGACACCUGCAAUUUCAACACUUUCAGAGGCCAUAGCAGGAGGAUCACUUGAGACCAGUUCAAGACCAGCCAGGCCAACAUAACAAGACUUUGUCUCUACAAAAAAUUAUUUUAAAAACAGAAAACCAUGUCCAAGUAUUAGAGGGUCAGUCACCAUAGUACAUAAAAGUAUGCCUUUGGUCUCAGACAAUUCACAUUCUGUCUCUACAACUUAGUAGGUACAGCAAAUUACUUAAUCACUCUGUCCCUCCUUUCCCUUAUCUAUAACAUGGUGAUAAUUAAUAGUAUGUAUUUUAUAGAGUGGUUAUGAUUAAGGAAUACAAGUCAAAUAAAGUGAUUACUAUACUACAAUGCCUUAUUGUAGUAUAAUAAUGCCUUAUUCAUUGAAUACCUUUAUGAAACCUACUCAUGAUAGAAAACACUAUUAGAAAUGCUGUUUGAAAUUGGUUUUAUAGUGCAUGAGAAUUUAGAAAAAAAACUUUUUAUAUAACUUUUACAGAAAAAAACUAGGCUCUGAGUAGAUAUAAAGUCAUAUGUGGACACUUUGUAGAAUGAGCUUGUUUCUUAGUAUUUUAUCUGACAUGACCUCAAAGUUUCAGCUUCAAUUAAUCUAAUUUCUACUACUCUACCUGACCCACCACACCUUUUCAAUCAAACUUCUUAUCUCUAAGUACAGCAACUUAUCCUUUUUUUUUUUUUUUGAGACAGAGUCUCACUCUGUUGCCCAGGCUGGAGUACAAUGGCAUGAUCUCAGCUCACUGCAACCUCCACCUCCCAGGUUCAAGUGAUUCUCCUGCCUCAGUCUCUUGAGUAGCUGGGAUUACAGGUAUGUGCCACCACACCCAACAAAUUUUUGUUUUUUUAGUAGAGACAAUGUUUCACCAUGUUGGUCAGGCUGGUCUCGAACUCCUGACCUCGUGAUCCACUCGCCUCAGCCUUCCAAAGUGCUGGGACUACAAACAUGAGCCACCGCACCUGGCCCAGCAACAUAUCUUAAACUGGCUCGUUGGUUUCAUUUUAGAUGCUAUCUCCAAUACAGAUGAUAUACUAGAAAGAGCUCUGGACAGACAAUCUGGAUAGAGAAGCUAAAAAACAUUCUAGCUUCUAAAGUCAUUUUCACACUUACGUAUAAAACACUCAAAUUUAUAUAACAAGAUACAUUAAAGAAAAAAUAAUUUAAAAUAUAUAACCAGUUAUACUCCUUCAUUAAUAGAGGUAAUUAAGUUGAAUGUACUUAAGAAUACAUUGCUUUUGUGAGGAUUAAAAUCUAAUGUUAAGCUGCCAAUUCAUAUUCACCUGAACCUUAUUUAAUAAAGUCAUACCCAUGAACGACAUUAUUAAAUGUCAGUCUGAUGAUGUUCAAGCUAUUUCAGUUACCUAGGGAGGUCUAAACUUACACUAAAUUUCUGGCGCUGACAUACACACACCCGCAUACACACACAUCCAUAGUUGAUUAACAUCAAAUAGAAACUUCACUCUAUACUUUUCAGGAAGGGAAAAGCUCCCAAGUUAUACUUCAUGGCUAUUGAACAAGUUUAUGCUUUCAAAUAAGAUUCUUUCCAUUGAUUCUAUUACUUAUCCAAUCCCUCGUUCAACAUGUUGAGUUUCUACUGAGUAAAAGGCACAUUGCAGGACACAAAUUAUAUCAAUUUCAAAUAUAAUUGAGGCAGCCUAAGAAGUAUAUAUAGGACCUAGGGCAAAUUAUUUGGCCUGUCUGAACUUUGAUAUUCUUAUCUAUAAAAUUGCGGUGAUAAUAACUGUCCUAUCCCAACGAUUUAUUACUAGGAUCAAAUGAAGUACUACAACAUGGAACAGAAAAGAAUUUUCAAAUACUAGUAGGGUUCUAUAACAACUCAAGAGCUCAUCUUGUCUCCAGGAGCACAAUAAGAGACUGUUCCAUUAUGUGAUUAAUGUAACAAAUAUUUAAGAGUUUAAUAUAUCAUGAUGUGUUCACAUACUAAAGUGCUUUAAAAAUGUAGUAAGUACAGGCUAGGAGCAGUGGCUCACGACUGCAAUCCCAGUACUUCAGGAGGUGAGGUGGGUGGAUCACUUGAGGCCAGGAGUUCGAAAGCAAGCUGGUCCACAUAGCAAAACCCCGUCUCCACUAAAAAUACCAAAAUUAGCCUGGCGUGGUGGUACACACCUGUAGUCCCAGCUACUGGGGAGGCUGAAGCAGGAAAACCUCUUGAACCCAGGAGGCGGAGGUUGCAGUGAGCGGAGAUUGCGCCACUGCACUCCAGCCUGAGUGACAGAGCAACACUCCAUCUCAAAUAGAAAUUUAAAAAGUAAUAAAUACAAACGCUUUCCUUAGGUAGGGAUAAUAAAACUCUGAAAUAACCAUAGUACAAUUCAAAUUUAACAAGUAUUAUAAGAGUUAUAAAGCCUAGCACACAUGAAAGAAAGAAUGGACCGGGCGUGGUGGCCCAUGCCUGUAAUCUCAGCAUUUUGGGACGUAGAGGCAGGUGGAUCACUUGAGAUCAGGAGUUCAAGACUAGCCUGGUCAACAUGGUGAAAGCCCUUCUCAACUAAAAAUACAAAAAAUUUAGCUGGGCAUGGUGGUGGGCACCUGUAAUCCCCGCUACUUCAGAAGGCUGAGGCAGGAGAAUCGCUUGAACCUGGGACGUGAAGGUUGCAGUGAGCUGAGAUUGUGCCAUUGCACUCCAGUCUAGGUGACAAGAGCAAAGCUCUGUCUCAAAAAAAGAAAGAAAAGGAAAGGAAAAGAGAAUGAACUGGAUUCAUGGCAGAUUUCAGAAAGCUGCAUAAGAGGUGGCAUUUAAGGCAUUAAAGAACAAGUCAAAUUUCUACAAAGACAGUAAGGAAGGCCUUCUUUGUUUCUUCUUUGUAGGAAGAAAGGAUAAAAACAAAGACCAAGGCAGAUAGGCAUAUAGCAUGUUCAGAAAUUGGACGCCUAAUGAACAACUUCAGUUUGGCUAAAAAAUAGGAUAUGUGGAAUAAAGUAAUAUUUGUCUAAAAGAGUAAAAGAAUCCAGUUUCAAGCUUCUGCAAAAAGAAAAAAAGAAAGAAAAAAGAAUUAAAAGAUCAUAUCGAUUUUACUGGAGCCAUGGACAGACUCAAAUUUUGAAGGAAAAAUCUGAAGCCUCCCUAAGUAAUAUAAAGUUUGUUAAAUGCCUCCCUAAAUAAUUUAUUUUUAUUCUGAAGCCGGUCGAGAGUCACUGCGUAUUUCUGAGGAAAGAAUAACCAAAAAAAGAAGGCUUAAGAUCUUUGGCUUUAAAAGUAAUAUGGAGGCAAAUGAGGACAAGUCCAGUUUGGAAGUUAUUGCUAUAGUGCAAGUAAGAAGAGGAAAGACGAGCAUAUUUAGCACAGAGGUAGUGAGAAUGAAAAGGGGAAGAACUAAAUUUGAGAUGCUGAAGAGAGAAUCAACAGUUGGGAGGAAAGCUAGCAUCAGAAAUGGAAGUUUACAAGCCAUUCCCUUGAAACAGCUGAGUUUACCUGUGAAAGUGAGUAAGAACACCAAGUAAGAAACUGCACCAAACUUCGUCUUUAACUACCAAAGCCAAAUGUUGACUUCAAAAACAAAAAGACUUAAAUUUUCAAAUACUGCAUUUAAGAGAACAUAAUAACAGAUCCAGUCUUCUUCUAUAAAGCUACACACCCAGACGUCUGUUCUGAUGAGAAUCUCACCCCGCCUCAAAAGUCCUUGUGUUCUUACUCGCCUUACCAAGGGCAGCCUUUCCAUUUCUUUUAAGUUCCUGCGGCUUCUCGAACUCCAGGUGCUGGUCGGGUGGAUCCGUGCCUACCACAGGGCUCAACGCCGAGUGGCAGCUGAAGGGAUGCUCACUGAAGGAACACCCCCGACUGACCCCAGCCCGGCCCACAAGUCACUCGCUCCGCACGCCCCAGACGCUGAGGCACACACUGCCGUCUUCAUUCGCUUGACACACCCCUCUCCUUAGGCCUUUUUUCCUCCUCCACCCAGCACAUUCCGCACGUCAUCCCUCGGAGUUACGACGUGUCACCUCACCCACUCCCACCUCUACUUAGCUAGCACUGUGUUACAGGUCUUCGAUACCGUCCCCUUCACCCCUACAGAGUUCAUAUCUGCCCCCUCGCAUGCCUCCUCCUCUUUUACCUCUAACCUUCGGGAGCUGCCCAAGCCGCCCCGCUGCCGCGGGCCUCCCGGUUCCCGCCCCUCCCCAGGUGCGCUCAGGACUCACCUCCCGCGCAGCUCGGCCGGCUGAGCCCACCACCGGGGGCCGCGGUUCAGCUCCGCCGAGGGCCCCAGGCUGCCGAGCCCGCUGGGUCCAACGCGACCGCUGACCCGCAGCGCCGCCCGCUACCGUUGUCUUAGCCGUAGCCGCCGCCAGCUCUGUGCAGCCCAGGCGUUUCCGGGUUCCCGCGGUCCCGUCCCCCAAAUACUCCGGCUUCCGCCUCGACUCGGGCAAAUACCGUUCCCGGCUCGGCUAUGGCAGCCCCAGCUCGGCACUUUGUCAGCUAAGGCGACGCACCUGGGCUGCUCAGCUGUCAGCCCCCGGUUCCUGCUUCACCGUCGCAUGAACGCCUGGGGCACUGCUUUCUGCUAGACCCCUCCUGAGGGCGCGAGACAGAUGCAGUGACACUCGUCGCGGGCCUCUGCGGGACUGUCUGUCUGCAGCGGGUGCCAAGGUGUCCGCUGCGAAAGGAAGGGCAAAGUCCUUUGGGACAAAGAACGCUGAGAGGAACGGAAAGAUGGAUUUUGAAAGCAAACGAAUCUGCUCCUAAAAGCGACUGUCCCUGACCUGAAAACAAACCAGAUUAGCUAUGGCAAAGGCUGCCAACCAAUAAGUGGUCUGGAAAAAGACCUGUUCUUCCACUUCUCCCACCCUGCUGAGACCUUGAGACCGAUGGAAACCCAAAGCCGUACCACGACUGGGCCUAGUGCCAUCAACGGGGAGAGGAAAAAGAAAGCUGGGGCCAGAGGAUUUCAGAGUUUUGAGGGGCCAACCCCUUCCUGGCUGCAUGGAUCACACAGCAUUACCUUUAAAGGCCUUCCAAUAGCUAUGUUGGAAACCCUCUAACCAUUGCAGCCCAUUCAGGUGAUGAACAGGCUGAAAUCAGUACCCCAGGUUCAGCUGGAUUAUCUAAUAGGAGAACCGGAUUAUCUCUUUUUUGUUAACUCGGGGCUGCUACAAAUUAAGCCUAUGUUGCUUUAUAUUGCAAAGGAUUAAACUAUUUCCAAGAACGACAUGCUUAGAAAAAAAGUGAGAUGGUAGAAAAAUCAAUGUGUUAGAGUGGAAAACAGAGGCUGGCAGAUUGCUUGAGCCUAGGGCAUUGCAACCAGACUGAGCAACAUAUUGAGACCCCCAUCACUACAAAAAUAAAAAUUUAAACAUGUGCCAGCCGUGAUGGCACAUGCCUUUAGUUCUAGCUACUCAGGAGGGAGGCUUAAGUGGGACGAUUGCUUGAUCCCAGAAGUUCAAGGUACAUUAAGCCACGAUGAUGUUACUAUACUCCAGCCUGGAUGAUAGAGCAAGACGACCCUGUCUCAAAAAAAAAAAAAACAGUAGCCUAGUAGCCCUGCAAAACUGUCCUUGUAGGGCAUAUUUGCAUCUGUAGAGAAUCUGCGUUAAUGUAGCCAGGCUUUCUCUGAGGCCCUUCCUUGUCCAGAUCUAGGAAAGAUUAACUGAGAUUCUGACACCUUUAAAGGUAUGAAAGAAACUUCUACCAUCUAUUUGCUCUGAGGGCUGCUACCCACCUUUGCUAGUCAGGCCUCCACUUCUCUCCCUCUGGUAACUUGUUUUGCUGCUAUAACCUGAUUUACCACCAUAAUCUAUUUUUGGCCACGCUUGGAGGUCUAUUCUUUCUAAAGAUGGUAUAUACCCUUCUGCACUACAUGGGGGUUAAGGGUAAUCACUCUGUGAUUUCUCAUGCACACUAAUAAUUUCUAUGCCUUUUCUCUUUUUAUUUUACUUUUUUGAGAUAGGGUCUCAUUCUGUCAACAAAGAAGGAAUGCAGUGGCAUUCAAUCCUUUUCAUGGCUCACCGUAGCCUUGACCUCCAAGGCUUAAGUGAUCCUCCAGCCUCAGCCUCCUGAGUAGCUGGGACUAUAGGCAUAUGCCACCAUACCUUGCUAAUUUUUUUUUUACUUUUUUGUAGAUAUGGGUUCCCACUAUUUUGUGCAAGCUGGUCUCAAACUCCUGAGCUCCAGUGAUCUUCUUGCCUCAACCUCCCAGAGUAUUGGGAUUACAGCUGUGAGCCACUAUGCCCAGCCUGCCUCUUGUCUUAUGAAUCUAACUUUUGUCAGUUGAUUAUUCAGCCAACCUUCAGAGGGCAAAGGGGAAGCUACAGAAGCUCACCAAGGCAAGAAUGUCAGCUGAGCCUGAACUACAAGUCUGGACACCCAACAAUUCAAGUCAGUACCCAAGAGCCUCACUUUCUCACCCAGGCUACAGUGUGGCGGCACCACCUCAGCUCACUGCAACCUUCACCUUCCGGGUUCAAGUGAUUCUCAUGCCUCAGCCUCCCAAGUAUUUGGGAUUACAGUGAUUUAGGAAGCUGAAAUGGGAGAAUUGCUUGAGUCCAGCAGUUUGAGACCAGCCUGAGCAACAAAGCAAGACCCCAUCUCGACAAAAGAAUAAAAAAGUUUUUAAAAAGGGAUCCAAGAUGUCUGAAUAGAAACAGCUCUGGAGUGCAGUUCCCAGCGAGAACAAUGCAGAAGAGACAGAGUCUUGCUCUGUCGCCCAGGCUAGAGUGCAGUGGCGUGAUCCUGGCUCACUGCAACCUCCACCUCUGAGGUUCAAGCGAUUCUCCUGCCUCAGCCUCCCGAGUAACUGGGACUACAGGAGGCCCAUUGUCAUCAGAAAAAGUAUAUAGUUUCUAACAGAUUUAUACAUUGGAAGUGGAUUUUGCUCCUAAUUUCAACAUGGCUAAUGAAAUAAUCCACACAGUCUAAAAUUCUUCCUCCUCUCUGCCUCUACACAUCCUGCAAAAAGGCUGGAGGGCAGUGGUAUGACCAUAGUUUGCUGCAGCUUUGAACCUCUCAUGGGCUCAAGUGAUCCUCCUCCUGCCCUGACCUCCCAGAGCAUGAGAUUACAGAGAAGUUAAAAGUGAUAUACCUGGUUCAGCAAAGUUUCGAAGAGGAUCAUCUCCCAUUACCCAUCCAUUGUGGGCCAUCAGAAAACAAGCUUUAUUUGGGAGAUGAAUCAUAGAUUCUUCCAUGGAGAAGUCCA
Callithrix jacchus (white-tufted-ear marmoset) is the source of this 13755-nucleotide non-coding RNA. The record is from RefSeq and is a predicted model, not a curated record. NCBI's taxonomy places the organism in Eukaryota, Metazoa, Chordata, Mammalia, Primates, Cebidae.